RNAcentral lists this ribosomal RNA (446 nucleotides) under uncultured bacterium. RNAcentral describes it as "partial 16S ribosomal RNA". It matches the Rfam family "Bacterial small subunit ribosomal RNA", at positions 338 to 795 of the family's 1533-position model. The record is from RNAcentral.
CCUACGGGUGGCUUCAGUCGAGAAUCAUUCUCAAUGGGGGAAACCCUGAUGGUGCGACGCCGCGUGGGGGAAUGAAGUUCCUCGGAUUGUAAACUCCUGUCAUGUGGGAGCAAACUAAAACGCGAGUACCACACGAGGAAGAGUCGGAUAACUAUGAGCCAGCAGCCGCGGUAAAGCAGCGGUCUCAAUAGUUGUUUGGACUCACUGGGCGUGAAGGGUGGGGAGGUUGGUGCGUAAGGGGGGUGUGAAAGGCGCGGGCUCAACCCGCGGAGGGCACAUGAUACUGCAGGGUUAGAGUAAUGGAGAGGGAACCGGAAUGCGCAGUGUAGCAGUGAAAUGCUUAGAUAUCGAGAGGAACACUCGUGGCGAAGGCGGGUUCCUGGACAUGAACUGACGCUGAGGCACGAAGGCCAGGGUAGCGAAAGGGAUUAGAUACCCGAGUAGUC